GGAGGUGAGGGCAAACUGGCUGUGACACCUGUAACCCCACUGGUCACCAGGGUUGAGCUGCCUCAUCUGUCUGGUUAGAAGGGUUUCCUCCCUGCUCACUGCUCCACGUGGGUGCCUCCCAUGGCUGUACACAAAGCUGGAUGACGUUCUAAGGUUAGAUAUGGGCAGGUCUUUGGUGGAGGGUAUGUGCCCCCUGCUAGAACCUCCAAACUCUUAAGAAAAGGGGGUGGGGAGAAAAGACCACUACUAAGUAGUAGACAGAAUAAUGAAAACACAGUAGGUAAGUAAAUUCUAU
This is an unclassified non-coding RNA of Erinaceus europaeus (western European hedgehog), 295 nucleotides long. Its record names the gene 7SK. It matches the Rfam family "7SK RNA". From Rfam's summary of the family: 7SK was discovered as an abundant small nuclear RNA in the mid-70s but a possible function has only recently been suggested. Two independent studies have found that 7SK RNA binds the CDK9/cyclin T complex (known as elongation factor P-TEFb). The record is from Ensembl. Lineage: Eukaryota; Metazoa; Chordata; Mammalia; Eulipotyphla; Erinaceidae.